This 2819-nucleotide long non-coding RNA is filed under the name Macaca mulatta (Rhesus monkey). RNAcentral's name for it is "lncRNA (ENSMMUG00000054784.1)". Lineage: Eukaryota; Metazoa; Chordata; Mammalia; Primates; Cercopithecidae. The record is from RNAcentral.
CGCCCUGGAGCAGCUGCCCUUCCGACCCUGCCUGGGCUAUGACUCAUCUCCGGCGGAGGAGAAAGGGGCCUUUGUGAGCCCCCAGCUCCGGCGUCUCCCGGACAACACCGCCCCCCGGUGGCCGCGAGCCGCGAGGGCUGGGGAAGCCGCCCGAGAGGCAGCGCCCGAGCUCCCCACGAGCUGCGGUGCCAUUGGAAGCGUCAGCGCCCGCCCCUCGGAGUCCAGCCCUGUCGCGGGGAAGAAAGGGGGAGGAACCGCCAACCCCUAGAGGGCAAGUGGGCUCAGCCCUAGGAAAUGCUCCAACCCCUCCCACACGCCCCGGGAAACGGUAUCCCAGAGCUCCGCUCCCUGGAGACCCCUCCAGAGAGGGACCUGGGGCCCCGCCCCGCAGCUGGAGAAGGGGUGAAUGCCUUUCCUGCCGAAAGCCUGGUCAGCCGCCCUGCUUGUUGCGUCUCCAAGACCACGUGUCUGCUACAUUUUAAAAUUAGAUUGGAACAUCUGACUUACUCCUUUUCGGCUGUGCUGUCAAGAGAGAAUGACCUCUACCAAGCAAGAAGGGCCAAGAGUUGGGGUGCAGGUGAGACCAUUUCUGACUCCCAGGCCACUUCCUCCUUUGUCACUGGAGAAAGGUCCCUCUUCUCCUUUUGUCACUUUGCAAAUGUCUGCAGCUGCCUUGGCCAAGUGUGGGAUCAGGUCACAUUGCUCUGCCGAGGGCUGGGCUGGGGCCCAGGAAGCCAGACUCUCCAGAUCAGCCUGCCCUGUCCUCCCACCCACCUCUUCCCAGCCCCUGCAAGAAUUCAGUUAGCCCGGAGGAAGAAGGCAACAGCCCUUGGGGGUGUUUUACUGGGCUCCUCAAACAUGGCUGCAGCCCUUCCCAGGAAGCCAGGUUAAGAGAAAACUACAGAACAGAUGGGGCCUGGGAAGGAGGAAGCAUUGGACUGAAGAGGCACAGAGACGAGCAGGGAGAGGGCUGAGUGAUGCAGGUGCAGCCUCCGGGCUGGCUCCAGGCCUUAGACACACAUGGCAGGCCUUCACUUAGUGCCGGGACAGCUCCAGUGGGCAAGCAGAACAACUUUCUUGUUUUUCUGUACCUGUGCCCCAUUUCUGAUUCGGAGUUCCUUUGCCAUUAGGCUGGUGGGGAAAAAUAUGUAACUUCUUUCUUUCUUUAUUUUUUGGAGACAGAAUUUCACUCUGUCGCCCAGGCUGGAGUGCAGUGGUUCCAUCUCGGCUCACUGCAACCUCCACCUGCAGGGUUCAAGCAUUUCUCCGGCCGCAGCCUCCCGAGUAGCUGGGACGACAGGUUCAUGCCACUGUACCCAGCUAAUUUUUGUAUUUUUAGUAGAGAUGGGGUUUCACCAUCUUGCUCAGGCUGGUCUCAAACUCCUAGGCCCAAACAAUCCACCUGCCUCAGAUGCCGCUAGGAUUACCACCCCACCUGGCCUAAAUAUGUAACUUCUUCCAGGAUUUAUGUCCUAGUUCCAAGGUCUUUGUGCAACAUCACGUGGUAGGAUUUGGUCCUCAGAAAACUGUCCAUCACUCUGACGCUGUCCUUGCUGCACUGCCAGAGCCCCUUCAGGGCCAAUGUUUUCUUGUUACUUCAACGUGGUCAGCCUAGAGGAUCUCACUACCUCCCCGAGAACUGCUCCAGGGCCACAGAUCUCUUGCCAUCUGUCAUUCCUUUCUGGGACAGGAGACCCUGCUGGUUCUGGAGGAAUGUGGGGUCUGGUCUCCCCUCUACUUCCGGCCAAGGUGCCUUGAGCAUUUGCACGAAUCUUCUCUUCACUUUUUCUCGCUUCUAGACACAGCUCAGUUCCCUAAGGGUUCAGGCCUUUAAGAAAGAGUUUUAGGGUACUACUCACUCUGCCCCUGCCCUCGAUGCUGCUUGAAUGCGGGAAAGGAAAUGGGAAAAUACAGGAAGAAAAACGAACAUCAAUGAGUGUCUCAAAAUAAUAUCCUGCCACAUACAUUAUCCCAUUUAAUCUCACCACAAUCCUCUGAGUGUUUUUGUUUUUGUUUUUUUAGACAGAGUUUCACUCUUGUUGCCCAGGCUGGAGUGCAGUGGGGUGAUCUUGGCUCACCGCAACCUCUGCCUCCCGGGUUCAAGCUAUUCUCCUGCCUCAGCCUCCCAAGUAGCUGGGAUUACAGGCACGCGCCACCCACCACGCCCGACUAAUUUUAUAUUUUUAGUAGAGAUGGGGUUUCUCCAUGUUGGUCAGACUGGUCUCAAACUCCCGACCUCAGGUGAUCCGCCUGCCUCGGCCUCCCAAAGUGUUGGGAUUACAGGCAUGAGCCACUGCACCAGCCUACAAUCCUCUGAUGUUAUCCACAUUUUACAGGUGGGGAAACCAAGGCUUAAUAAGGUCACAUAACUAGUAAUUCUGUGUCCUUCCCACCUAUAUUCCUGAAAACACUGAGGCAGAUCCCAAACUUUUUUUUUUUUUUGUACACAGAACUCUUUUCUCUCCUUCCUUCUUCCCUCCCUCCCUCUGUCUCUCUCUCUCUCUCUCUUUCUUUCUUUCGAGACGGGGUCUUGCUGUGUUGCCCAGGCUGGUCUCAAGUGAUCCUCCCACCUUGGCCUCCCCAGCGUACUGGGAUUACAGGUGCACCUGGCCCACAGAACUCUUUAUUCAAAAGAAUCUCCCUUGAAAAACCGGAAAGUGUGUUGCUGCUCUGGUCGAAGGCAACUGGGAUGAGGAGCUCAGGGGUUGCCUCCUUAUCUUCACUUCUGGAUGCACCUGUGACACUUCUGUGACUUCACAGGCUCCAAGAGCACAUUUGGAAACCUCUGGGCUGUAUGACCUCCAGGCAGGUUCUAAGGC